AUUUAUUUUUGCUCUAACCUCUGACUUUAAAUAUCUAGUUUACCUAUUAUUUUUUCUCAUUCAUUGACAAGAAUGAGUCUUUUGGUUCAGUAGAAAGACUUUAGCUUACCCAUAAGUCUGAUGUUUGAAUCCUAUGGGUGUAAAGUAAAAAUACUUUUGCUAUUCUUUGUCUGUGCCGACCCAUGUGGUCAGAAUUUGUGUUAAAUUCAAAUUUUGAAAAAUCUAAUAGUUUAGGAUUUGUUGGGUAGUUUUUUUUUCAAAAUAAACUCGAGAAGUGUGCUCUUAAAUUUUCUCUCACUCCUACCGUUCCCUUUCCUCUCUUGCUCACGUCAAUUUUUCUUUUCUUUUUCUUCCUUUCCCUUUCUUUUCGUAUUUGAUAUGGUAAAUUGUUGCACGUUAUCAUUCGUCGCCUUGUGCUUUUUGUUCGUUUUAGUCGAGCAAAUUUGGGUGUUUUAGCAUUGUGUUUACAUAAACUUGUAAGUGCACUACUUCCUCUUCUUUGGGGUUAUUUGUAUGACUAUUAUUGUUUUAAUUAUUUAGGUUUCUAAAAGAAAGGUAGGAAAAGUGUGGCGGCCGAUUAGUUAUGCAUUGAAUGUAAAUUCGUUGUUUCUGAUUAGGCGGAGAUCGGGAGGCGAUUAACCCUCCAACGAGCUAAGGGUUUGUAAGGCUGUUGUUUCUUUCAAGGGUAAGUGAUUAAUGCCCUAUUUAAGGUCGAAUCUCCGUGUUAAGGUCAAAUAGUUAGCGUUUGCGAUCGAAAAAUGUUUGGAUUUUUAGUAUGUCGCUAUUAAUUCAGUUGCUUUAAAUACUAUUUUAGGGUUUAAAAUUUUGUCGUUGUGUCGCUAUUUAGAAAUGAUCAGGUAUACACGUCCUGAAAAGCAACGAAUGGUGCGAAGCCGAAAAUUAUUUUGUUGACACCACAUGAUCGUGUGCCAGACAGUGUGAGCCACACGACCAAUAUAAUUAAUCUGCCUUAUUUGGUGGCUCAGCCACUUAUAUUUGUUUCUGGCGGGUUAUUGCAUUUUGAUCUGGCAGCUAAUCUGCAUAUUUCCUGUAAAGUGACAUAUGAUCACUUAACGGUGUGUGGGGCUGGAUGGGUAUUUAAUACCCAUGGAUGGUUGGAGAUGGUAUGUAGCAGAUGGGGUAGGAUCUAAAUCUGUAUCUGUUAUGCAUCUGAAUCUAUAUUUGUUAUGCAUUUGUGUCUGUAUUUGCUUCCUAAAUCUAUUAAAACAUGUGUAUCUGAUUUAUUGUUUGAACUAAGUUACACACUGAGCUCGUAAGCUCACUUUCUAAUUGUUUGUUUUCAAGUAAUCCUCAAACAUAGGACGGAUUGGUGCGACGUGAGCUCGAUUAUUUAUAUUUGCUUUGGAUUCCUUUAACUUUACUCAGUUUAAAUUGUUUUGUUACGUUGGACA
This 1412-nucleotide long non-coding RNA is filed under the name Gossypium barbadense (sea-island cotton). RNAcentral's name for it is "long non-coding RNA (GBAR_LNC016791)". Lineage: Eukaryota; Viridiplantae; Streptophyta; Magnoliopsida; Malvales; Malvaceae. The record is from RNAcentral.